GAUGAACGCUGGCGGCGUGCCUAAUACAUGCAAGUCGAGCGAACAGACGAGGAGCUUGCCACUCUGACGUUAGCGCCGGACGGGUGAGUAACACGUGGAUAACCUACCUAUAAGACUGGGAUAACUUCGGGAAACCGGAGCUAAUACCGGAUAAUAUAUUGAACCGCAUGGUUCAAUAGUGAAAGACGGUUUUGCUGUCACUUAUAGAUGGAUCCGCGCCGCAUUAGCUAGUUGGUAAGGUAACGGCUUACCAAGGCAACGAUGCGUAGCCGACCUGAGAGGGUGAUCGGCCACACUGGAACUGAGACACGGUCCAGACUCCUACGGGAGGCAGCAGUAGGGAAUCUUCCGCAAUGGGCGAAAGCCUGACGGAGCAACGCCGCGUGAGUGAUGAAGGUCUGCGGAUCGUAAAACUCUGUUAUUAGGGAAGAACAAAUGUGUAAGUAACUAUGCACGUCUUGACGGUACCUAAUCAGAAAGCCACGGCUAACUACGUG
This 497-nucleotide ribosomal RNA is filed under the name uncultured bacterium. Its description in RNAcentral is "partial 16S ribosomal RNA". It matches the Rfam family "Bacterial small subunit ribosomal RNA", at positions 28 to 507 of the family's 1533-position model. The record is from RNAcentral.